RNAcentral lists this ribosomal RNA (254 nucleotides) under uncultured bacterium. RNAcentral describes it as "partial 16S ribosomal RNA". It matches the Rfam family "Bacterial small subunit ribosomal RNA", at positions 524 to 777 of the family's 1533-position model. The record is from RNAcentral.
UACGAAGGGGGCUAGCGUUGUUCGGAAUCACUGGGCGUAAAGCGCACGUAGGCGGAUCUUUAAGUCAGGGGUGAAAUCCUGGAGCUCAACUCCAGAACUGCCUUUGAUACUGAAGAUCUUGAGUUCGGGAGAGGUGAGUGGAACUGCGAGUGUAGAGGUGAAAUUCGUAGAUAUUCGCAAGAACACCAGUGGCGAAGGCGGCUCACUGGCCCGAUACUGACGCUGAGGCACGAAAGCGUGGGGAGCAAACAGGG